Molecule: microRNA, 22 nt
Filed under: Canis lupus familiaris (dog)
Lineage: Eukaryota; Metazoa; Chordata; Mammalia; Carnivora; Canidae
Description: Cfa-Novel-10_5p* (star (passenger))
Source: RNAcentral
AGUGGCAGUCAGGACCUGGAGC